UACGUAGGGGGCGAGCGUUGUCCGAAGUUACUGGGCGUAAAGAGCGCGUAGGCGGGUCUUUAAGUGAGGGGUGAAAGGUUAGGGCUCAACCCUAACACUGCCUUUCAUACUGGGGACCUUGAGUGCGGGAGAGGCGAGUGGAAUGGUCGGUGUAGCGGUGAAAUGCGUAGAUAUCGAUCGGAACACCCAUGGCGAAGGCAGCUCGCUGGCCUGCAACUGACGCUGAGGCGCGAAAGCGUGGGGAGCAAACAGG
RNAcentral lists this ribosomal RNA (253 nucleotides) under uncultured bacterium. RNAcentral's name for it is "partial 16S ribosomal RNA". It matches the Rfam family "Bacterial small subunit ribosomal RNA", at positions 524 to 776 of the family's 1533-position model. The record is from RNAcentral.